Molecule: unclassified non-coding RNA, 370 nt
Filed under: Hevea brasiliensis (rubber tree)
Lineage: Eukaryota; Viridiplantae; Streptophyta; Magnoliopsida; Malpighiales; Euphorbiaceae
Source: RNAcentral
UGUAUGCCCAACUGCUAUGCAAGGAUAAUGAGUGUUGGUGAUGUGGAGAACCGUAUAGUUCUUAUUGCUAAAACCAAUGUCUCUGGAGGGGAUGAGCUAACGUAUGAUUACUUGUUUGAUCCAGAUGAGCAUGAUGAGUUGAAAGUCCCUUGUUUGUGUGGAGCUCCCAACUGUCGAAAGUUCAUGAAUUAAGUUGCACAUCUUGUAUCUUACUGUCCAUCAAAGCACCACAUCCAUCUUCUAACCCAAGAGGAAAUCUCUUUUUUUGAAAGAAACCAAUUUUAAUUAGAGGGAUUUUUUUUCCUUUCCCCCCAUUCUGAUAAUUCUGAAAGCCAUGUAAUUUUUAGGGUGCAAUCGAAUUUACAUUUUA